This 232-nucleotide RNase P RNA is filed under the name Oleispira sp. RNAcentral describes it as "partial RNase P RNA component class A". It matches the Rfam family "Bacterial RNase P class A", at positions 128 to 367 of the family's 367-position model. Rfam says of the family: Ribonuclease P (RNase P) is a ubiquitous endoribonuclease, found in archaea, bacteria and eukarya as well as chloroplasts and mitochondria. Its best characterised activity is the generation of mature 5'-ends of tRNAs by cleaving the 5'-leader elements of precursor-tRNAs. Cellular RNase Ps are ribonucleoproteins. The record is from RNAcentral. Lineage: Bacteria; Pseudomonadati; Pseudomonadota; Gammaproteobacteria; Oceanospirillales; Oceanospirillaceae.
GCCGAUGGCUCAUUCGUGAGCACAGGUAAGGCUGAAAGGGUGCGGUAAGAGCGCACCGGACGACUAGUAAUAGUUCGUUGCAGGGUAAACUCCACCCGGAGCAAGAUCAAAUAGGCUCUCAUAUGGCGUGGCCCACGUUGAGAGCGGGUAGAUCGCUUGAGCCUGCGAGCAAUUUCAGGCCUAGAUGAAUGAUUGUCCACGACGAAACCCGGCUUACUGGCGUCUCCAGCUA